This 484-nucleotide ribosomal RNA is filed under the name uncultured bacterium. RNAcentral describes it as "partial 16S ribosomal RNA". It matches the Rfam family "Bacterial small subunit ribosomal RNA", at positions 28 to 507 of the family's 1533-position model. The record is from RNAcentral.
AUUGAACGCUGGCGGCAUGCUUUACACAUGCAAGUCGAACGGCAGCGCGGGCUUCGGCCUGGCGUCGAGUGGCGAACGGGUGAGUAAUGCAUCGGAACGUGCCCAGUAGUGGGGGAUAGCCCGGCGACAGCCGGAUUAAUACCGCAUACGACCUGAGGGUGAAAGCGGGGGACCGAAAGGCCUUGCGCUAUUGGAGCGGCCGAUGUCGGAUUAGCUAGUUGGUGGGGUAAAGGCUUACCAAGGCGACGAUCCGUAGCUGGUCUGAGAGGACGACCAGCCACACUGGGACUGAGACACGGCCCAGACUCCUACGGGAGGCAGCAGUGGGGAAUUUUAGACAAUGGGGGCAACCCUGAUCCAGCCAUGCCGCGUGCGGGAAGAAGGCCUUCGGGUUGUAAAGCGCUUUUGUUCGGGAAGAAAUCCUCUGGGCUAAUACCCCGGGGGGAUGACGGUACCGGAAGAAUAAGCACCGGCUAACUACGUG